ACGAACGCUGGCGGCGUGCUUAACACAUGCAAGUCGCACGGAAAGGCCCUGCUUUUGUGGGGUGCUCGAGUGGCGAACGGGUGAGUAACACGUGAGUAUCCUGCCCUUGACUUUGGGAUAACUUCAGGAAACUGGGGCUAAUACCGGAUAGGAGCUCCUGCUGCAUGGUGGGGGUUGGAAAGUUUCGGCGGUUGGGGAUGGACUCGCGGCUUAUCAGCUUGUUGGUGGGGUAGUGGCUUACCAAGGCUUUGACGGGUAGCCGGCCUGAGAGGGUGACCGGCCACAUUGGGACUGAGAUACGGCCCAGACUCCUACGGGAGGCAGCAGUGGGGAAUAUUGCACAAUGGGCGGAAGCCUGAUGCAGCAACGCCGCGUGCGGGAUGACGGCCUUCGGGUUGUAAACCGCUUUCGCCUGUGACGAAGCGUGAGUGACGGUAAUGGGUAAAGAAGCACCGGCUAACUACGU
Molecule: ribosomal RNA, 466 nt
Filed under: uncultured bacterium
Lineage: Bacteria
Description: partial 16S ribosomal RNA
Rfam family: Bacterial small subunit ribosomal RNA
Source: RNAcentral